This 296-nucleotide ribosomal RNA is filed under the name uncultured bacterium. RNAcentral's name for it is "partial 16S ribosomal RNA". It matches the Rfam family "Bacterial small subunit ribosomal RNA", at positions 48 to 339 of the family's 1533-position model. The record is from RNAcentral.
UUAACACAUGCAAGUCGAGGGGUAACAGGGAAGCUUGCUUUCGCUGACGACCGGCGCACGGGUGCGUAACGCGUAUACAAUCUACCUUAUACUGGAGAAUAGCCCUAAGAAAUUGGGAUUAAUACUCCAUAGGUAUUUAGAAACCACCUGGUUUUUAAAUUAAAGUUUCGGCGGUAUAAGAUGAGUAUGCGUCCUAUUAGUUAGUUGGUGAGGUAACGGCUCACCAAGACAGCGAUAGGUAGGGGGCCUGAGAGGGUUAUCCCCCCACACUGGUACUGAGACACGGACCAGACUCC